UGUAGCUCCAAAGCAGCAGGAGCAGCAGUAGACAAGCUGGAAAUGAGUGAGCAUGGCCAUGUUCAAUGCCAAUGCGGAGGGCGGGAAGAAGGUUUGACCCCCGAAGUCUAAUUUGCUGACCUCUGCAGAGGGAAUUCGAAGACUGGGAAGGUUCCCUACAGGGCACUUGCGUGAACUUCAGUUUAUGUCUGUACAUCCUUUAAUUAUCUGUGACGUGAUGGUGAUGAUGCUGGUGCUUAUCUUCUAGAGAUGCUGGGAGGAUUAGAUGAGCUGAUAAUAGGAGCACCUAAAUGGUACCAUAUCUGGCCAAGAAAUGGACCUCUCAGGCGAUCAUCUGGAUGUCUUAUCCUCACGCGCGCUCUCGCCUCACCCACCUGCAGGCUCAGACACGGACACCCUCCCGCUCCUGCGGCCUCGUCUAUACCCGCGCUGUGAGGGGAGCAGACCUGUGCUUAAGGCAGAAGAAACCAUGCGGUGCAAGAAAGUGGCCGCCCAGGAGGAGGCGAGGGUUCUGUUUCCAUAAGAGGCGUCCGCUGCUGGGAUCCCAGAACGACAGACAUCCGUGCAAGGGUAGAAGCUGGCCAGUGCAUUAACGGAUUCUCCCCAGCACCUGCCCACGAGGGCGCAAUCUGAUCUUCGCGUAGUGAAUGUGAGUCUUGGAUAACUAUCUUCUUCACAUGCCCUGAUUCUCUAGCAAAGCU
RNAcentral lists this long non-coding RNA (701 nucleotides) under Capra hircus (goat). RNAcentral describes it as "lncRNA (ENSCHIG00000002818.1)". The record is from RNAcentral. Lineage: Eukaryota; Metazoa; Chordata; Mammalia; Artiodactyla; Bovidae.